UACAGAGGGUGCGAGCGUUGUCCGGAAUCACUGGGCGUAAAGGGCGCGUAGGUGGCGUCGCAAGUCGAUGGUGAAAGCUCGGCGCUCAACGCCGAGUCGGCCCUUGAUACUGCGAGGCUGGAGCACUGUAGAGGCAGAUGGAAUUCCGGGUGUAGCGGUGGAAUGCGUAGAGAUCCGGAAGAACACCGGUGACGAAGGCGGUCUGCUGGGCAGUUGCUGACACUGAGGCGCGACAGCGUGGGGAGCAAACAGG
This 253-nucleotide ribosomal RNA is filed under the name uncultured bacterium. Its description in RNAcentral is "partial 16S ribosomal RNA". It matches the Rfam family "Bacterial small subunit ribosomal RNA", at positions 524 to 776 of the family's 1533-position model. The record is from RNAcentral.